RNAcentral lists this ribosomal RNA (463 nucleotides) under uncultured bacterium. RNAcentral's name for it is "partial 16S ribosomal RNA". It matches the Rfam family "Bacterial small subunit ribosomal RNA", at positions 28 to 507 of the family's 1533-position model. The record is from RNAcentral.
GAUGAACGCUGACAGAAUGCUUAACACAUGCAAGUCUUUGGCGAAGCUGUGCUCGCACAGCCUAGCCAAGGCGGACGGGUGGGUAACGCGUAAGGAACUUGCCCUGCAGUCAGGGAUAACAGACGGAAACGACUGAUAAGACCUGGUAAAGUCAGACGGACUCAUGUCCAGCCUGAUGAAAAGAGAUGCUGCAGGAGAGCCUUGCGUCUUAUUAGCUUGUUGGUGGGGUAACGGCCCACCAAGGCGAUGAUAGGUAGCCGGCCUGAGAGGGUGGACGGCCACAAGGGGACUGAGAGACGGCCCUUACUCCUACGGGAGGCAGCAGGGGGGAAUAUUGGACAAUGGGGGCAACCCUGAUCCAGCAAUUCUGUGUGCACGAUGAAGGUUUUCGGAUUGUAAAGUGCUUUCAGCAGGGAAGAAAAAAAUGACGGUACCUGCAGAAGAAGCGACGGCUAAAUACGUG